RNAcentral lists this ribosomal RNA (326 nucleotides) under uncultured eukaryote. RNAcentral describes it as "partial 18S ribosomal RNA". It matches the Rfam family "Eukaryotic small subunit ribosomal RNA", at positions 1470 to 1796 of the family's 1831-position model. The record is from RNAcentral.
CCCUUAGAUGUUCUGGGCCGCACGCGCGCCACACUGAAGGGAUCAGCGUGUUUUCCCUUCCCGAGAGGGACGGGUAACCCGCUGAACCCCCUUCGUGGUAGGGAUCGGAGCUUGCAAUUGUUCUCCGUGAACCAGGAAUUCCCAGUAAGCGCAAGUCAUAAGCUUGCGUUGAUUACGUCCCUGCCCUUUGUACACACCGCCCGUCGCUACUACCGAUUGAACGUUUUAGUGAGGUAUUUGGACUGGGCCUUGGGAGGUUUCGGCCUCCCUUGUUGCUCGGAAAGACUCCCAAACUUGAGCGUUUAGAGGAAGUAAAAGUCGUAACA